UUUGCAAGUACAAUAUCUUUACUUAUUUCUCAAUGUUAUUCAUUAAUGGCAGUUUUUAAUGCAAAGCAGGUGAGGCAAUACCACAACUUGACAGGUUUUAAUGCAAGGCAUGUUUUUAUUUUGGUUUUCUCCUUGUUUUUGUUUUUUUUUUCCUCUCUGUUUUGUUUUGUUUUUUCUUUGUUUUUUUCAGGAGCAAAAGUAUGACUUUCUAGAUUAUGAUUUCAAUUAUCAGAACAACAAUAAUAGUGAUUGUAGUGUAUGUGCUAAAAUAUUUUUAAAGUUGAAUGUACAGCCUAUACCUUAUGGUUGCCAUGCUGUUGCACUUGCACCCAUCUUUGCAUGAUUAGGUAUAAUGUAAGAGCGAAUGUUCUGUCACUAAAAAUGCCUUUUCUGCCUCUCAUAGUUGGCAUUUGUCUUUCUAUGUUGGUAUUUCUUCUUUCUAGCAUGACACACAUUCUAUUGGUUCAUAGCCAUACGCAUAUUCGGUGCAUUAUUCUCAAGAAAAUUUUGUGGCAGAGAUCAUUUUCUCAUAUUUGACAUGAAAUCUGCUGAACAUCCAACCCCCCCACCCCUAUCUCCCCCCCCAUCAAUUGCUGUCUGCUGCUUAUUGCAAACCCAGGUCAAUCAACUGCACCAUCAUUUACUUUUGCGUCUCCAAGCCGCCGCGCAGACCCAUUCACACUAGCCAACAUUGAAAAGUACUUUGUUUAUACAUAUAUGUCAGCAGCCUUAUGAAAUUGCAGUACAAGCCAUGGAGGAGAAGAAAAUACGGGAAAAAUGUAUUUGUAUACUCUCUGCUGAUAUUGUCCCACUCACAGUCCCUGAGUUCUCAUGUUUUUAUUGUCCAACAAGGUAUAAUUUCACAAACGAAGGAAGGGGAAUUUGUUUUGAUUCAAAGGCAAAAGCACGGGUUAAAUGUUACACUUUGUAGUAUGACAUUUGGAUGUGGGAAUGGAAGAUGACAAAGCAAGCAGAAGUGGGCUUAA
Vitis riparia (riverbank grape) is the source of this 986-nucleotide long non-coding RNA. RefSeq lists it as uncharacterized. The transcript has 2 exons. The record is from RefSeq and is a predicted model, not a curated record. NCBI's taxonomy places the organism in Eukaryota, Viridiplantae, Streptophyta, Magnoliopsida, Vitales, Vitaceae.